UAUAAUGUGGCGUAGUGGUUUAAGCGUUGGACUACAACUCUGGAGACCGGGGUUCAAUUCCCUGCUCAGCCA
Phrynosoma platyrhinos (Desert horned lizard) is the source of this 72-nucleotide non-coding RNA. NCBI's taxonomy places the organism in Eukaryota, Metazoa, Chordata, Lepidosauria, Squamata, Phrynosomatidae. The record is from the annotation of a GenBank genome assembly.